Long non-coding RNA from Drosophila willistoni, 793 nucleotides. RefSeq lists it as uncharacterized. The record is from RefSeq and is a predicted model, not a curated record. The transcript is spliced from 2 exons. NCBI's taxonomy places the organism in Eukaryota, Metazoa, Arthropoda, Insecta, Diptera, Drosophilidae.
AGGAAUCGAAUGCUUUUUGAUGUGAAUUAUUUUCUGUUGAGAAUGAAUUUAAUAAUGAUUUUUUACCGAAAUGGAAAUCAAAUUCGAGUAUCCAAGUAGGCGUUGAAAAGCCAUCCGAAUAGGCCAUGAGCUUAAACUUCAAAACUGAAAAACCAUAGACCCUCAGAUCGGACGAGAAAUGCUCAUUCACAUUUAACUCCAGGUGAAACAAACAUCUACACUAAAAACUAAAAAACAAAACAAAAGUCUUCUUUUUCGGCAAAAAAUCCUACUUCCGUAAACAGGCUACACGAAGAUGUGCAAUCCUUGGAUGGGUUCAAUGCCCGGCACUUGCUGUGGACCAACUGGUGGACUGGGACCUUGUGGACUGUGUGGCCCCUACAAUGGCCAGUGGUUCAAGGCUAUCAAUCAUUGCUGCGGUCCAUGCGGGCCCUAUGGUUGUUGUUCCUGCUAUGGGCCGCACGGUGGUCACUGUUAGCCUGCUUAGAAGGAAAGUAGGAUGAAAACAAAUCUAAAUUAACCUGAGCGUUGGCCGAGAACAAGACAAGUUGGUGAAGAACUAGAAAUAAGUCUGAUACAAUGUGGAGACAAAUACAAGGAAGAACUAGAUAUAAGGAUGAUGCAAGUGGGGAGACAAAUACGAAGGGCAAUACAACUCAAUCAAACAUGUGUUAAGAAAAGCAAGAGAUUAUUUAAAACUAGACAAAAAAAGAAACAACCAACCAAAAAGAAAUAGCUUAAAUUACCGGAGAGUGUGUAAACGAAAUUAAAUAAAUUUCUGUAUAUUACGUAA